CUGCAUCUGAGCCCAUACCCUGUCCUCUCCUCUGUGGAUCCCAGUGAGCUCACCAGGAGACUGGGGAGCUGCGGGGAAAGUGUGGAGUCAACUUCCUAUUUCAGGGUGUGCCCAUUACCUUCUAGUGUAGAGUCAUGCAUGGACUUAGAUCUUAGCUUCAGCUCCAGAGGGAUGCCUUCCUGGACCAUGCUUCCUAAAACAGGGCUCUCAAAAGCUAGUUCUUUCCUUCACAGCAUUCACCACCAUUUAGUUGUGAAGACUUCAAAGGGUUCCAGGCUCUGGGGAUACCACAAAGAGAAAAUGAGCCCACCCCACACUCUCAUGCAACCUGCAUUCUGCUGAGAAUUGAGAGAGGCUAAGAAUAACAAUCACACAAGUAACUAAGACAAUUUCAGCGAGGGUUAAGAGCUGUGAGAAGGACAGAAGGCAGUGACAUGAUAGAAAGUGACUGGGAACAAAGAACUGAGGCUGGGGCCCAGAACAGGCUCUCCGAGGAGGAGAUCAUUGACAGAGACCUGGACACUGAGAAAGAGCCAACUACACCAAGAUCUGGGAGGCAAGCUUUUCGGGCAGUGAAAAAAGCAAGUCAGCAGCAGCCCUACGAGUGAGUUUGGUGUGUUCAAAGAACUGGAAGGAGGCCGGUGAGCAGGAGCGAGAGCUGGAUACAGCUGGAGGGGAGAUGCACCUGCGGAAUGUGGCAAGGGCAGUUCCAGGCUUGUCCAGCCUGCCCGUCUGGGUCCUGCCCCAUGACUCACCUUACAACAGGUAGCUGCUCUUCCCUUCCCUUGGGAAAAAUGUCACAGAGGCAGAGGGUACUUUGGAGCAGUGGAAAAGGGGAGACUUUUGGAAAACAGUUGCUCAACCUUAAGAGCAUGGCUUGAUCCGUGGUAUAUAGAUCUACGACUGGGCUCUGAACCUGCGAACCCUGGGCCCCUGAGGCGGAGCAUGCCAACUCAACUGUCGGGCCUGACCCUAUAUGUGUUCUUAGAUUUCUACUACUCCUAACCUCAAAGGAACUUGAGGUACUGUGACGAGGAGUAAACACAUAAUAUCCCAGUUUCAUGCAAUGGAAGCAGCAACAGAAACAGGAAGUAAACCAGAAGAAUUUAAAAGCAAGCAAGCAAAUAAACAUGUUCCAAGCAAAAGCAAGAAAAGUUUUUGUAGAAAUGAUAGUAGUCGAAAGCCUAGACAUGAUACGAAGAGGUGAGCCUCUACUCUCACCAUCCACUUUUUUCACCUUGGUGCCUGAUUCUGACCACCGAUCUGAUUCCUCCUCGCCCAAGUUCCACUGACGCGGAGCUUUCGUUGUAGAAGCUUUGACCGAAUGUUUGAUGGUGGAGACAGAGAUCAUCUUGGGUUGCUAUACAAA
Molecule: long non-coding RNA, 1369 nt
Filed under: Equus asinus (donkey)
Lineage: Eukaryota; Metazoa; Chordata; Mammalia; Perissodactyla; Equidae
Description: lncRNA (ENSEASG00005030861.1)
Source: RNAcentral